This 818-nucleotide ribosomal RNA is filed under the name Hyalinobatrachium yaku (Yaku glassfrog). Its description in RNAcentral is "partial 16S ribosomal RNA". It matches the Rfam family "Bacterial large subunit ribosomal RNA", at positions 1253 to 2588 of the family's 2925-position model. Lineage: Eukaryota; Metazoa; Chordata; Amphibia; Anura; Centrolenidae. The record is from RNAcentral.
AAACAAUACUGAACAAUUCUAUAUUAUUAUAGAAGAUUUUAUGUUAAAACUAGUAACAAGAAGAAGAACUUCUCCUACAAUGCAAGUAUUAAUCAGAUAGGACACACCACUGAUAAUUAACGUCUAUGAGCAAAAAUAGCAACCAAACAAGAAAACCCUACUAAACCAUACGUUAACCUUACACUAGAGCAUUUCAAGAAAGAUUAAAAGAAAAAGAAGGAACUCGGCAAACAUUAACCUCGCCUGUUUACCAAAAACAUCGCCUCUUGAAUAAAUAUAAGAGGUCCAGCCUGCCCAGUGACCAUGUUCAACGGCCGCGGUAUCCUAACCGUGCGAAGGUAGCGUAAUCACUUGUUCUUUAAAUAAGGACUAGUAUGAACGGCACCACGAGGGUUAUACUGUCUCCUCUUUCUAAUCAGUGAAACUAAUCUCCCCGUGAAGAAGCGAGGAUGAUAAUAUAAGACGAGAAGACCCUAUGGAGCUUUAAACUACAAGGCACUUGCUUGAACAUUAUUAAAUUUCAGAAUACCACUACUACCUUAGCAAGAUGACCCUUAGUUUUAGGUUGGGGUGACCGCGGAGAAAAAAACAACCUCCACAUUGAAAGGAGCCCACUCCUUAGCCAAGAGCCACACCUCUACGCACCAACAAAAAGACAUCAAUUGACCCAAUAUUUUGAUCAACGAACCAAGUUACCCUAGGGAUAACAGCGCAAUCCACUUCAAGAGCUCCUAUCGACAAGUGGGUUUACGACCUCGAUGUUGGAUCAGGGUACCCCGGUGGUGCAGCCGCUACCAAAGGUUCGUUUGUUCAACGAU